AGAGCGAACGCUGGCGGCAUGCUUAACACAUGCAAGUCUCACGGGCAGCAAUGUCAGUGGCGGACGGGUGAGUAACGCGUAGGUAUCUAUCCUUGGGUGGGGGAUAACGUCGGGAAACUGACGCUAAUACCGCAUGACACCUGUGGGUCAAAGGCGCGAGUCGCCUGGGGAGGAGCCUGCGUACGAUUAGCUAGUUGGUGGGGUAAAGGCUUACCAAGGCGACGAUCGUUAGCUGGUCUGAGAGGAUGAUCAGCCACACUGGGACUGAGACACGGCCCAGACUCCUACGGGAGGCAGCAGUGGGGAAUAUUGGACAAUGGGCGAAAGCCUGAUCCAGCAAUGCCGCGUGUGUGAAGAAGGUCUUCGGAUUGUAAAGCACUUUCGGCGGGGACGAUGAUGACGGUACCCGCAGAAGAAGCCCGGCUAACUUCGCGCCAGCAGCCGC
RNAcentral lists this ribosomal RNA (445 nucleotides) under uncultured bacterium. RNAcentral's name for it is "SSU rRNA". It matches the Rfam family "Bacterial small subunit ribosomal RNA", at positions 26 to 518 of the family's 1533-position model. The record is from RNAcentral.